RNAcentral lists this ribosomal RNA (500 nucleotides) under uncultured bacterium. RNAcentral describes it as "partial 16S ribosomal RNA". It matches the Rfam family "Bacterial small subunit ribosomal RNA", at positions 30 to 523 of the family's 1533-position model. The record is from RNAcentral.
AUUGAACGCUGGCGGCAUGCCUUACACAUGCAAGUCGAACGGCAGCACGGGAGCAAUCCUGGUGGCGAGUGGCGAACGGGUGAGUAAAGUAUCGGAACGUGCCCAGUCGUGGGGGAUAACGUAGCGAAAGUUACGCUAAUACCGCAUACGAUCUAUGGAUGAAAGCGGGGGAUCGCAAGACCUCGCGCGAUUGGAGCGGCCGGUAUCAGAUUAGGUAGUUGGUGGGGUAAAGGCUCACCAAGCCGACGAUCUGUAGCUGGUCUGAGAGGACGACCAGCCACACUGGGACUGAGACAGGGCCCAGACUCCUACGGGAGGCAGCAGUGGGGAAUUCUGGACAAUGGGCGAAAGCCUGAUCCAGCCAUGCCGCGUGCAGGAUGAAGGCCUUCGGGUUGUAAACUGCUUUUGUACGGAACGAAAAGGUUUGGGCUAAUAAGCUGAGCUCAUGACGGUACCGUAAGAAUAAGCACCGGCUAACUACGUGCCAGCCGCCGCGGUAA